GUCCACGCCGUAAACGAUGCCGGCUCGUUCUUUGUCCUGCGUUUAGCAGGGUGAGGGGCUAAGCUCACGCGGUAAGCCGGCCGCCUGGGGAGUACGAGCGCAAGCUUAAAACUCAAAGGAAUUGACGGGGGCCCCGCACAAGCAGCGGAGCGUGUGGUUUAAUUCGACGCAACGCGAAGCACCUUACCCAGGCUUGACAUGUGCCUGCAAUCCGGUGAAAGCCGGCUCCUUCGAGGGUGGCACACAGGUGCUGCAUGGUUGUCGU
This 265-nucleotide ribosomal RNA is filed under the name uncultured bacterium. RNAcentral's name for it is "partial 16S ribosomal RNA". It matches the Rfam family "Bacterial small subunit ribosomal RNA", at positions 793 to 1055 of the family's 1533-position model. The record is from RNAcentral.